This 271-nucleotide ribosomal RNA is filed under the name uncultured bacterium. RNAcentral's name for it is "partial 16S ribosomal RNA". It matches the Rfam family "Bacterial small subunit ribosomal RNA", at positions 524 to 794 of the family's 1533-position model. The record is from RNAcentral.
UACGGAGGGUGCAAGCGUUAAUCGGAAUUACUGGGCGUAAAGCGCGCGUAGGCGGUUACGUAAGUCGGAUGUGAAAGCCCCGGGCUCAACCUGGGAAUUGCAUUCGAUACUGCGUGACUAGAGUCUGGUAGAGGGUAGCGGAAUUCCAGGUGUAGCGGUGAAAUGCGUAGAUAUAGGAAGGAACACCAGUGGCGAAGGCGACUACCUGGACUGAUACUGACACUGAGGUGCGAAAGCGUGGGGAGCAAACAGGAUUAGAUACCCCUGUAGU